Aegilops tauschii subsp. strangulata is the source of this 1432-nucleotide long non-coding RNA. RefSeq lists it as uncharacterized. Lineage: Eukaryota; Viridiplantae; Streptophyta; Magnoliopsida; Poales; Poaceae. The record is from RefSeq and is a predicted model, not a curated record.
CCUAGGACCCCGCCCAGCCUCUCGCCUGAGCUCCAGGAGCUCUCCCCUCUCCGGUUCGUCGCCAUGGCCUCCGCUCCCCGCCGGCCUCCUCCGCCAAAAUUUGGUCGGGCCAAGCCCUCUCCCUCCGUUACACCACCACCAGAAGCAUCUACCACCUCACCAGAGCCUCCCUGACGCCCAUCCCCUCCUCUCCGUGGCUCCUCCGUCCUCCCCAAGGUCGCCCGAGCCCGCCAUUGCCGCCGUCCGCCCCGUCCAAGACCACGCGCUCCCCUGACUUCCUCGCUCUUCGUACCCCGCCUGGAUGGACGCGCCGUUCUUCCCCAAGCACCCCGGUGGCCGAAGCACCUCAAACGGUGGCCUCCUCUGUUCUGGAGCCGGCGUCGGGAGGAAGAAGGGAAGGAGCGGGAGGAGAGAGAAAGAGGAGUGGGACCCACCUGGCAGCGACUCUAGCGCCCGGCCCUGCCCCUGCCAGCUGGAUAAGUGGAAGCGGUCCGUGGCAGAAAACCCCUCCUAACUUUUUGCUCGUAACUCCGAUUGAGCCCCCUUCAGGAGAGAAACUUUUCCGGUGAAUCUUUCCGCGAUCCUUCCGCACUUCUCCCCGACGUAUUCUUCACCCCCAGGCAAGCCAUGACAACCACUUGCAUGAUUGCAUGUAGUAGCUAUGGUUUUCAACUUCAAUAUUUAAUAAAUCUCUGCUUGUUUGUCUACAACUGUUAUCAUUGUUUCAGUACUGCUUAUAGUUCCAUGUUCACCUUCGUGCUUUGAUUCGAUGCAUCUGGUUAUCAUGCUAGUAUUACUUUCAUAUGACAUGCUUGGUAGUUGUUGGUGUUAGUCAUGUUCUUCGGUGCAUGACUAUCGUCUGUUACCGAGUACCGUGUUUAUGCAUGUUUCCUUUGCAUCUAGCUGAUUAAAUGCUUGCAUGGUAGUAUUAUCAUUAUGCGCUUGCAUGGUAUUUAAUCCCGAUGCUAGUGGUCAUGUUAUGCUAUGGGUAGUGUGGUACUUGGGAUAUUCAUGCUCGUCAGUAUGCCAUGCUCAUUCGAUAUGUGAUUUAUUAUUGUUGAUAUGCUUGAUGAUUAUGUUGCACAUACAUGCUCAUGUUGGUAUCAUGCAUUAUGGUUGCGUCUUGUUAUAUUGUAUGACUCAACAUCAUUUGCAUUCAAGUUUAACCGGACUUUAAUUGAACUUGAACAUCUGUUGGCUGAGUCAUAGUGCCAUCGAAAUUGAGCUGACCAGUGCAACCACAUUUGCCUUUUAUGGGAAGGUCCUAACUGGGUCUAUUGUCAUGCCUCUCGCCGGUGCCUCCAACGAGGGAAGGUUAUGCACGGGUACUACCUUGGCCGGGUAGGACGACAUAAGCCUUGUGUGCCCGUUGUUGUUGUAAGGAUCCUUGUCCCCAUUUGGGACCGUUUAUGUUUUGCCAUGACGGCGGCCG